AGCCCAACUGAAAUACAUUCCUACUACAAAAAUAAUACGAACAUGGUGUAGAAAAUUUCUCCUGCUCACCAAUGAUAUAUCUCUGAGCAACCAGGCCUGUCACUUCUGAGUAAAAGAACUAGGUCUCUCCAAACGGCCAUGGCCAGAUUCAGAAGCGGGCAUCUUCGAUGCAAUAUUCAGCGGGCGGAAAGGACUCUCCCCUCGUGUUUCUGUCCCCCCCCAGCCUCUCCUACUCACCUACUGGAUUGUAUAGGCGUCUCUCUGAGAGAACUGUCGGGACUGAGCAAGAUGAUUUACUUGUGCGGCAAGGUCCCUUGGACUUGGUGUAGGCUUUCCUGCCCCAAGAGAAUUAGCAGCAACAACAACAAAUUUAGCUAUCAUUUGUUAAAGGUAGCAGAUUCAUAUACUAACCACCAGCUUAAUGAUAGACUAUCUGAACAUCUUAGUUGUCAUCGCUAAACAUAAUAAGCUAUGUAACAAUUUAGUGAAGCUAUUAAGUUGGUUGCUAUUAACAGCACGCAUUAAUAAGUUUGUUUUAUUUAUUCAUUAAUUUAUUUACCUUCGUAAUUCCAUUCAUACUUUUCAUUCAAUAUAUUUUAGCCCCUUCGUCUUCAACGCCUUUCAGUAUGAUGGACAUAUAGAUUUGCGGCUCGGUGUUCUAUUACCACCAGUGUAUUUGCACAGAUUACCAGAACCACUGAACUACGCAACCAUGGGACCCGUUAUUGGGCAUGAAAUCGGUCACGAGAUCAACCUCUUCUUUGGUGA
Molecule: long non-coding RNA, 768 nt
Organism: Stegodyphus dumicola
Lineage: Eukaryota; Metazoa; Arthropoda; Arachnida; Araneae; Eresidae
Source: RefSeq, a predicted model, not a curated record